UACGUAGGGCGCAAGCGUUGUCCGGAAUUAUUGGGCGUAAAGAGCUCGUAGGCGGUUUGUCGCGUCUGCUGUGAAAACCUAAGGCUCAACCUUGGGCUUGCAGUGGGUACGGGCAGACUAGAGUGCGGUAGGGUGACUGGAAUUCCUGGUGUAGCGGUGGAAUGCGCAGAUAUCAGGAGGAACACCGAUGGCGAAGGCAGGUCACUGGGCCGCAACUGACGCUGAGGAGCGAAAGCAUGGGGAGCGAACAGG
This 252-nucleotide ribosomal RNA is filed under the name uncultured bacterium. RNAcentral's name for it is "partial 16S ribosomal RNA". It matches the Rfam family "Bacterial small subunit ribosomal RNA", at positions 524 to 776 of the family's 1533-position model. The record is from RNAcentral.